CAACAGGGAUUGCCCUAGUAACGGCGAGUGAAGCGGCAACAGCUCAAAUUUGAAAUCUGGCUCUCGGGCCCGAGUUGUAAUUUGUAGAGGAUGCUUUUGGCGCGGUGCCUUCCGAGUUCCCUGGAACGGGACGCCAUAGAGGGUGAGAGCCCCGUCUGGUUGGAUGCCAAACCUCUGUAAAGCUCCUUCGACGAGUCGAGUAGUUUGGGAAUGCUGCUCUAAAUGGGAGGUAUAUGUCUUCUAAAGCUAAAUACCGGCCAGAGACCGAUAGCGCACAAGUAGAGUGAUCGAAAGAUGAAAAGAACUUUGAAAAGAGAGUUAAAAAGUACGUGAAAUUGUUGAAAGGGAAGCGCUUGUGACCAGACUUGGGCUUGGUUGAUCAUCCAGGGUUCUCCCUGGUGCACUCUUCCGGCCUAGGCCAGCAUCAGUUCGCCUCGGGGGAUAAAGGCGCCGGGAAUGUGGCUCCCUCCGGGGAGUGUUA
RNAcentral lists this unclassified non-coding RNA (481 nucleotides) under Fusarium rectiphorum. RNAcentral describes it as "sequence contains ITS2, 28S rRNA gene". It matches the Rfam family "Eukaryotic large subunit ribosomal RNA", at positions 66 to 558 of the family's 3401-position model. The record is from RNAcentral. Lineage: Eukaryota; Fungi; Ascomycota; Sordariomycetes; Hypocreales; Nectriaceae.